This 5386-nucleotide long non-coding RNA is filed under the name Taeniopygia guttata (zebra finch). RNAcentral describes it as "lncRNA (ENSTGUG00000023738.1)". Lineage: Eukaryota; Metazoa; Chordata; Aves; Passeriformes; Estrildidae. The record is from RNAcentral.
UUUUUUUUUGGUUGGUGGUCUUGGUUUUGGCUAAUUUUUUUAAAUCCUUGCCAGGGUAACUAGUGCCUGACUCCUGUGGAUAAGCCAGGAGCUGCAGGGUCAGGGCACACCUCGGGGUUGCUGCGCUGAGUGUCCAGUGUGGGGCCAGCGCUCAGCACACGCUCCAGCAGAGAUCCCUGUCCCAGUGCCCCUCUGUGACUGCUCUGAGCAGUGUGGCCAGGACUGGCACUGAUAGGUGUCACCACCCCAAACAACUCCACAGAGACUGGUAAGAACUGGGGCUUCUGAGCUGCUGGGGAACACCAGGAAUCUGCAGGAUUUAAGGCACAGAAGGUGGUGCAGGGGGGAGGCUGGGGGGCAAAGCUUUGGAACUGAUUAUUUAGUUCCAAAUUUGAGUAUCACUGGCUCCCCUGACCUGAUACUGUUUACGUCCUAAACUCUCAGCAGAGCUUCAUCUUGACAAAAUCUAUCCAAGACCCACAGAUUGCUUCCCUGGUACCACUGUCCAUGGUAAGUUGUGCUGUCAUUUCCUUUGCCAUGAGAAUGAACACCAAUUUGUUCAAGAAAUUUUGGAAAUACCCUCCCAUAUCCUGUUCUCACGCUAAUGGUGAUUGUCCAGGCCCAGGGGAGAAGCAAACUGGUCUAAAUAAAGGAGGCAAACAGAAUAAACCCUGAAAAGUGAUGAAUAAAGGGAAUAGAGGUGAGUCUCUUAUUGUUCAGCAAGUUUGUGAUUUGAGUGGAGUGCAGAAAGAGGGAAGGCACAGAGAUGUUCACAUCUCUGAACAGAUGAAUGCCACUGGAUGACCCAGUCUGUGGAGGUGAGGGGAAUCCAAAACUUGUGCUUGCAGUGGGGUAGAAGGUGUAUCAAGGAAAGGGCCUAUCACAGAGAAGAUAUUUUGCAAGCUCCUGAAAUUCAGUGGCACUGUGUCUAAGGGACCAGGUAGUUCUGUAAGGCCAUUGUGAUGCUUUUUCUGUAUUGGUGUCAGAAAAGAAUUAGACAGUACCUCCCACACAUGCUGAGGGUGGAAAGCCUGAGGAUGGAGUGUCUCACACAGUUCCCCUUUACUGAACUCAGCCCCAGGCAAGACUCUCCAAGGGGGAUUGGUACCUGUGGUCAGUCGAGCAGAUCUGUCUCUCCUUGUAGUGACAGCAGAUGCCACACAGGAAUUUAGUGCAGACAUCAGCAAAGCCACAUUAUCACGCUGUGUGCUGCCACUCUCAGGGGCUCAGUGGGACAGAACCAGCUCAGGCACAGAGAACUCCAUUCCACUGCAGGGAAUGCUGCCCUGCAGGACAGAGAGGAAGGCGAGUCAGAAGCAUCAGCAGCUUUGAUCUCAUAACUCUCCCAUCAAUUAAUUAAUUCUGUAUUAUUAAUGUUACAGACGAUAUAACUCACAUCAGCAACUUCAUGGAAUAUUUCUUUUGACCUGUUAAGCAUCUUUAAAGGUAAGACACAUCUAAGUAAAUAUAAUAUACCAUGUACAUUUAAGUUGAUGGUAAGCUCCCCAAAUGUCAAUUUGAAUAACUGUGAUUAUCUUGCCUCAGUUACAGAUUCUGUCCAAUUUUUGACAUGGAUUGUCUAUUUGUUAUUUUAAAAUUUUACUAAAGAUACAUUUUUAGUUAAGUACUGCAAGUUUAAGUGGCUAUGUGGUAUCUAAAUUGCUGAAUGAAAUUAUUCUGCUAAUUUGAUUUAGUACCAACUAUCCCCUCUCCCCUGACAUGUUAAAAAAUUCCUUGCCUAACUUAAUGAUUGUGUUGAUGAUGAGGUGAGCUUGUAACUUUUUUGAUAGAGUUCAUCAUUUUAGGUUGUUUAUCUUUUCCAUGUAAGUAGGAAAAGCCUUGAGAGAUUAUUUGCCUCAUAGUAAUCUUGGAGAGCAGGUUAUAGUCCUGUCCUGCACAGUGCCAAGAGUGACCUGUGGCCCUGUGGCACUGCCACCACCCUCCCUGAGAGCAGGCACUGCUCCAGGCUGUUGGAUCAGGCACAACUCUGCUUUAACUGUAGCUGAGCUUCUUGAACUCUGAGGUGAGGUGGUAAAAUUGGUCACAGGACCAGAACACACUGGUACAAUUCUGAAAUGCUUUCCACUGACUGAGAGUGCUUUGUUUUCAGCUGGGUUUGGGUUUGUUUUUUUCUUUCCUUUCCACCUCACCAGCCACAUCCUUUAGGGUAGAUAAACUCUGAAGUGCUCAUAAGGAAAUGUGCUUUUUUAAAUUGUUAUUGUUCACUAAAACACAUAAAAAAAUGAAACAUUUACAAUAUUUAGACGCUAACAAGACAUUUCCUGUGUGCACCUGAGCAGCAACAGCCAAGGCCCCUGCCCCUACUGCAGCAUGGGAAGUCCAGGUUUGCUGCUCUGUACUUGAGGGAGGGCUUGGCAACUGCUUCCUGGAGGAUUGUGCCAGUGGGAAGCAGAUGCCAUCCUCCUCAGAGACAGCAAGAUGAGGAAGCACAGACCUGCUGGGCUCUCUCUUCCACCUUUGCAUUCCAUCUCUGCUCCUUGCCCUCCUCAUUCCACUUCCCAAGUCAGGAAUGAGUCAGUAAGGCCCUUGCACCUUAUGGUGGGACCAUAAACCCACUUUUCCAGCAGAGAAGGCUUGAAUGGCUGUGUUUGUUCGUAACACAAACAUAAAUGUACACAAAUGGGGACCAAAACCCGAUGGCUUUGCUAUUUCCCUGCAGCUGGGGGACUGGCCAUUCAGCACAGCCCUUGCUCCAGCACUGCCAGUUAACCUCGGGCAGAUCCAGUUCCAAUGCAGCCCAGCCCACAAGGAUCUCCUGUAAUCCACACCAUAGCCUGGUAUUCAUUUCCAACACUCCUCCAGAGCCCUGCUGAUCCCCACACUUCAGAAAGCACCUGGCAAAGCCGCCUCCCCAGCAGAGAGCAAACAGAACCUGGUGACAGGAGACACUGCUGGGAUUAAAUACCUGUGUGGGUAUGCCAGUGCAUUCCUGCUUCACACACUGCAAUUUAUGUUUGCAACUAGCACAAUGCAAAGUGCAGGUCAGACAUCACGUGGGCAGCAGAUAUUAGAUUUUUACUGAGCCUGUGAUGGGCACAGAGCUGUGUGAGUGAUGGCUGUGAGUGACUUAAAGAGCUGCCAUGACUGAGACUUUCCUUGCCAUUCAAAAGCUUUUUGGUUGCCCCACUUACAGAGUUUUAUCAGAUUUCUCAACCUAAAAGAAAAUCUGAUUGAUUUUAUCCAGGUCUGAAGUUAGCUCAGCUCCAAGCAGGGAGUGACACUUGUUGACUUUGCCAUGCAAAUUUUCCUGAGGCUCUUAAGUGGUGAUGAUUGUGGAAAGGAGAGGAAAAGGACCAACAGAAAUGCUGGUGUUUCCUGUGUGCCCAAAGCCCCCAGGGAAACAGGCAUGAGAGAAGACAAACAGGGAUCUAAAAGAAACCAUUCCUUUGUGCAUGGAAACGGCGUGGCAGCAGAGUUUGGGGAAGUCUGCAGUGAAAGGAGAACCCACCGGCUGUUUCCCAAUUAAAGCUUCUGGGCAAGCCCACCUGCUCCUGCUCUCAGAACAGGAAAGGAGAGAAGGCACCAAGUCCAGCCCUCCCGUGUUGCUGCAACAUGGCCCAGUAUUGAGCCACUCAGAUGCCAGCAGGUCUCCCUCUGCCAGGAACAGAGCAGUGACCUCCUCUGGGAAAAAACACUUAACUCAUCCCAUCUUUGCCCAGAGCCUUGGUGUUUGAGCAGCCAAACCCAACAAGCUCCAGAACUGCUGGUCCUGCCCAUGGUGUGGGAUGAAUUAUACCCACAGCCCCAAAUUCCCUGCUGAAUUCCUGCUGGAAUAACCCAACAGUGCCUUGUGGAGUCUGGACAUUCCCAUGCAGAGCUGCCGUGGAACAGCAGCUGUGGCAGGAACCAGCAGAGGUUCCAGGACAAGGACAGGUUUGUAUUCCAUAGAAUUUGCUGUUUAUAAACCUCAUCCCCCAGCCCCACUGAUGUCCCUGGGGGACACUUGACAGAGUUCCCUGGAAUUCAGCUGAUUUCAUCCCCCUGAGCUCGGGCUCCAGUUGAAAUUUUAAAGCAGGAGAAGGUGAUGGCUCCUGGCCCGUGCUGAGGCAGCCCCUGUGCCCAGGGGAGGACAUCUCUCCCUGCAGGAGCUGACUCCAUCUCAGAGCCUCAGGAGUGCCUCUGCAGGUUCUUUUCCCUCAGGAAAGGGAUGCACAUCCCUGCUUCCAGCACACCUCCAGUGGGACCCACCUGUGAGUUUUCCAUCAGUUCUGUGGUUCCAGCUGGCUCCCUGGAACACUCCAAACUUCAUCCAAACAAAACCUCACCUGACUCUAACCUUUUAUUUACAGGCCUCCCUGAGGGCAUUGCUUGGGGUUUCAUUUCUGGGGGGAAGAUCCCCCUGGCUUUAACGCUGCUGAGGGAUGAUGUCCCUGGCUGGGAGGGAAGGGGUUUGGGGGGCUGGGACACACCUGGGGGUGUGCAGGAGCUCCGGGAGGUCGGCACCGGGAAUUGCUGCCUGAGCCCCUCCUCAAACGCACCGCGCUGACAUUCCCAGGUAAAGCCAGAUGUUCCAGCUGUUCCUCGGUAAUUUGGGGCUGCGGGCGGGGUCUGUCCGGGCUGAAGCAGCUCCGGAGCCCGUCAGAGCAGCCCCUGGCCGAGGAGCCGCGGGCAGCCCUCGAUCCACGUCCAUCCCAGCGCUGCCCAUCCCCGGGAUGCGGGUGUGGCGGGACACUGAGGCACAGCUCCUCCCCUGCAAACACCGAGGGCAGGAGGUGCUGGGUCCCUUCCUGGGCUCCCGGCCUCCUCCUGCCCCGCAUUCCCAGCCAGCUGGGACCACUGAGGAAACACCAAGGAACAUUCCCACCUGGGAGUGGGAGUCACCAAGGGCUCCGUGCAGCUCCGGGCCAGGAAAGUGGCACUCACCUGCAGGGAUUUUGGGCUGUGAACACUCACCUGCAGGAAACGCCCCUCUGCAGGUGGGACCAGCCCUGACACUCUCCUGAAGAACUCUGGCCACGGACCAAGUGAACCCUCAGGGCUUGUCCUGCUCAUUUCUCCUUGGAAAGGGACAUGGAAUGAGCACCUUUACAGCUGGUGGUAAAUCCUGGAAAGAGCAGGAAACCAAGGUUAUUGAAGAGUCUGGUGCUGUCCUGUGAGACACCAGCCAGUCCUGCUCUAGAGCCAGUCUAGGGGCUGGUGUGCAGAGCAGGACUAGCAGGAAGGAAGGAGCCACAUUGACAUAGGAAUUCCCUUGCUGGCAGCAGCCACCUCAUCCCAGGCAGGACCUUCCUCAUGAGCCUGAGGUUGCUCAGGUGCUUGGAGCAGGGUGCUGACAAGGCCAAGAUGCUGAAUUCAGUCCCCACGUGGGCCAAUCGCUCAUCACCGUUUGACUCGAUGAUCCUCGGGGCCCUUUCCAACUCGGAAC